Long non-coding RNA from Salvia miltiorrhiza (redroot sage), 1347 nucleotides. RefSeq lists it as uncharacterized. The transcript is spliced from 3 exons. Lineage: Eukaryota; Viridiplantae; Streptophyta; Magnoliopsida; Lamiales; Lamiaceae. The record is from RefSeq and is a predicted model, not a curated record.
AUACAUAACACUUAAUACAUAACGGUUUUUUGAAAAAACCGUUAUGUAUGAGCGCACUUUUAGGUAUAGAUAACGGUUUGACAAAAAACCGUUAUCUAUGUAGUGUUCUCCAUACUCAUAGAUAACGGUUUAAGUUAUUCCGUUAUGUUUGUGCGUUAUCUAUUAGUUGCAUACAUAACGGUACUACAAAACCGUUAGGCCGACCGUUAUCUAUGAGCAUCCUUUUAUAACGGUUAUUUUAACCGUUAUAUAUGAGCACCUCAAUACUGUUAUGUAUUAUUUUUUAUACUUAUUUUUAAAUUUAAUUUUAUUAUAAAAAAUCAAACCCCUAACCACCCCCACCAAAUUUCCCCAAAUCGAAGACGUCGCCUAGUACCCUCUCUAUCUCUCAGCUCUUGUCGCCGUCGGAGAUGCCGUCCACCGCCGCCCUCUGUCCGCAGCAGCAAAGCAGGCCGAGCAAGGCGAGCGUUGGGCUUGUGCUAUUGGCGGUGAUAGGCGUCGGACAGAGGCUCUUCAGAGGACUGCAGACCAUCCUCGCGCGACGGGGAGUUUGCAGAGACAAGUCGUAGCAACGCUGGCGGUGGACGGUGAAUGAUCGAGACGUGGAAGUGCAUUUCGGCGGCCAUCCAGACGGCGGCCGAGUGUACGACGGCGGCGGGCUAGGGUUUUCAAACCCUAGCUGUGAAGAAGAUAAGAAACGGGUCAGAAAGAUGGGUCUUCGGGGCAGGAUUACAUAUGGAGGGUUCACAAAAUCCCAGGGAGCAAGAAAUGGGAAUUGGCCAUGAGAAGCCAUCAAUUGUGGGAGGAGAUGGCUGCGAGCAUCACGAAUCAAGAUACUGGUUUCAGUGUUGCUGCAAGUUACUUAAUUAAACGAUACUCCUGGUCUGAAGAAGGCUGAUAUUGGAAGUGCCGUUCCUUUUCAGACCGUCGUCCAUCUGUCCGUCGGCAACUCACGCACACCGCACACGGUAAGCCCUCUCUCUCAGAAUUAGAAUUACAGUAGUCUUUUUCUUAUGUUUUUAGAAUUAGAAUUACAGAUUUGCUUGAAUUUGUUUCGAAUUUUACUCUGUUAUUGUAGUUGGGUACAUGGAAUAUUGCUUAGUUUCAUUUUAUUUGCUAAACUUAAUCAUGUGAAGCUUUUAUUAUUAAAUGAAAUGUAAAGUAUUUUCAUAGGACUAGCAGAUAGCUUGAAAUUUGAUAUUUUGGUACUUUGAUUUGGUAUCUAUUUUUUCAUAUUCAUCGCUCUGAUUUCAUGAAGCAUAGAUGGCGUUUAUGAUUUUUAGUUGUCAUUCUAGCUAGGCAUUGACAUUGAACAACCUGAUGAAAUCUUGAAACCAAAUUGCCAUU